RNAcentral lists this ribosomal RNA (426 nucleotides) under uncultured bacterium. Its description in RNAcentral is "bacterial SSU rRNA". It matches the Rfam family "Bacterial small subunit ribosomal RNA", at positions 29 to 503 of the family's 1533-position model. The record is from RNAcentral.
AACGAACGCUGGCGGCAGGCCUAACACAUGCAAGUCGAGCGCCCAGCAAUGGGGAGCGGCGCACGGGUGAGUAACACGUGGGAACGUGCCCUUUGGUUCGGAAUAACGCAGGGAAACUUGUGCUAAUACCGGAUAAGCCCUACGGGGGAAAGAUUUAUCGCCAUUGGAGCGGCCCGCGUCUGAUUAGCUAGUUGGUGAGGUAACGGCCCACCAAGGCAACGAUCAGUAGCUGGUUUGAGAGAACGACCAGCCACACUGGGACUGAGACACGGCCCAGACUCCUACGGGAGCAGCAGUGGGGAAUCUUGGACAAUGGGGGAAACCCUGAUCCAGCCAUGCCGCGUGAGUGAUGAAGGCCCUAGGGUUGUAAAACUCUUUCGGCGGGACGAUAAUGACGGUACCCGCAGAAGAAGCUCCGGCUAACUU